RNAcentral lists this ribosomal RNA (440 nucleotides) under uncultured bacterium. RNAcentral's name for it is "bacterial SSU rRNA". It matches the Rfam family "Bacterial small subunit ribosomal RNA", at positions 28 to 451 of the family's 1533-position model. The record is from RNAcentral.
GAUGAACGCUGGCGGCGUGCUUAACACAUGCAAGUCGAACGGGAAUUACUUUAUUGAAACUUCGGUCGAUUUAAUUUAAUUCUAGUGGCGGACGGGUGAGUAACGCGUGGGUAACCUGCCUUAUACAGGGGGAUAACAGUCAGAAAUGACUGCUAAUACCGCAUAAGCGCACAGAGCUGCAUGGCUCGGUGUGAAAAACUCCGGUGGUAUAAGAUGGACCCGCGUUGGAUUAGCUGGUUGGUGAGGUAACGGCCCACCAAGGCGACGAUCCAUAGCCGGCCUGAGAGGGUGAACGGCCACAUUGGGACUGAGACACGGCCCAGACUCCUACGGGAGGCAGCAGUGGGGAAUAUUGCACAAUGGGGGAAACCCUGAUGCAGCGACGCCGCGUGAAGGAAGAAGUAUCUCGGUAUGUAAACUUCUAUCAGCAGGGAAGAAAA